AUGAGUGGAGGACUAACUUUAUUUGUUGCUAACAGUGUUCAAUACAACUUGUAUUUUGGAGGAAGUUGUCCUGCAGAUUCUGGGGUUGUACUGUUGCCUGAAGACAGCUUUGGCAAGAGGGCAGCUGCUGAGCUGGGCUUCAAGCUGAAGAUCAAUAAACAUUCGCUGACAGGCUGAACUGGCAAACUUGAUGACAGUGGACUUCUUAAGAAAUCAAGAAGCCAAGGAAGAUUGUUUGGGAAUGAGUCUUGCGAAUAGCCACCCAUGGGCCAUUUGCAACCCUGUAAAGUGGCCACAUGUGUGUAACCGUAGGCUCCUCCUCGCUGCUCGGUGGUGGCUGCAGCUGCAGCUGCAUCCUGGGUAAGUUCCAGUAAAACCAAAGAGGAUGUGGGUACUAGUGCCAGUGGCUUGUGGGAAGCAAGAGUUUGUCU
RNAcentral lists this long non-coding RNA (431 nucleotides) under Athene cunicularia (burrowing owl). Its description in RNAcentral is "lncRNA (ENSACUG00000000290.1)". Lineage: Eukaryota; Metazoa; Chordata; Aves; Strigiformes; Strigidae. The record is from RNAcentral.